UUGUUGGUAAGGUAAAAGCUUACCAAGGCUUCGAUCAGUAGCUGGUCUGAGAGGACGACCAGCCACACUGGGACUGAGACACGGCCCAGACUCCUACGGGAGGCAGCAGUGGGGAAUUUUGGACAAUGGGGGCAACCCUGAUCCAGCCAUGCCGCGUGAGUGAAGAAGGCCUUCGGGUUGUAAAGCUCUUUCAGCCGGAACGAAACGGUUACGGAUAAUACCCGUGACUACUGACGGUACCGGAAGAAGAAGCACCGGCUAACUACGCGCCAGCAGCCGCGGUAAUACGUAGGGUGCAAGCGUUAAUCGGAAUUACUGGGCGUAAAGCGUGCGCAGGUGGUUUUGUAAGUCAGAUGUGAAAGCCCCGGGCUCAACCUGGGAACUGCGUUUGAAACUACAAGACUAGAGUGUGGCAGAGGGGGGUGGAAUUCCGCGUGUAGCAGUGAAAUGCGUAGAGGUGUGGAGGAACACCGAUGGCGAAGGCAGCCCCCUGGGUUAACACUGACACUCAGGCACGAAAGCAUGGGGAGCAAACAGGAUUAGAUACCCUGGUAGUCCAUGCCCUAAACGAUGUCAACUAGUUGUCGGGCCUUUACGGGCUUGGUAACGUAGCUAACGCGUGAAGUUGACCGCCUGGGGAGUACGAUCGCAAGAUUAAAACUCAAAUGAAUUGACGGGGACCCGCACAAGCGGUGGAUUAUGUGGAUUAAUUCGAUGCAACGCGAAAAACCUUACCUACCCUUGACAUGUAUCGAAGCCCGCAGAAAAGCGGGGGUGCCCGAAAGGGAACGAUAACACAGGUGCUGCAUGGCUGUCGUCAGCUCGUGUCGUGAGAUGUUGGGUUAAGUCCCGCAACGAGCGCAACCCUUGUCAUUAAUUGCCAUCAUUUAGUUGGGCACUUUAAUGAGACUGCCGG
Molecule: ribosomal RNA, 916 nt
Filed under: uncultured bacterium
Lineage: Bacteria
Description: bacterial SSU rRNA
Rfam family: Bacterial small subunit ribosomal RNA
Source: RNAcentral